CCUACGGGGGGCUGCAGUGGGGAAUAUUGCACAAUGGGCGCAAGCCUGAUGCAGCCAUGCCGCGUGUAUGAAGAAGGCCUUCGGGUUGUAAAGUACUUUCAGUCGUGAGGAAGGUGUUAAGGUUAAUAACCUUAGCAAUUGACGUUAGCGACAGAAGAAGCACCGGCUACCUCCGUGCCAGCAGCCGCGGUCAUACGGCGGCUGCGAGCGCUAAUCGGACUUACUGGACGUACGGGGCACGCAGGCGGUUGAUUAAGUUGGAGGUGAAGUGCGCGGGCUUAACCUGGGAAUGGCAUUGAAGACUGGGUAGCUAGAGGCGUGUAGAGGGGGGUAGAAUUGGAGGUGGAGCGGUGAAAUGCGUAGAGAUGGGGAGGAAUACCGGUGGCGAAGGCGGCCCGCUGGACAAAGACGGACGCGCAUGUGCGAAAGCGUGGGGAGCAAGCAGGAGUAGAUACCCUAGUAGGG
Molecule: ribosomal RNA, 465 nt
Filed under: uncultured Arsenophonus sp.
Lineage: Bacteria; Pseudomonadati; Pseudomonadota; Gammaproteobacteria; Enterobacterales; Morganellaceae
Description: bacterial SSU rRNA
Rfam family: Bacterial small subunit ribosomal RNA
Source: RNAcentral